Long non-coding RNA from Ruditapes philippinarum (Manila clam), 733 nucleotides. RefSeq lists it as uncharacterized. The record is from RefSeq and is a predicted model, not a curated record. NCBI's taxonomy places the organism in Eukaryota, Metazoa, Mollusca, Bivalvia, Venerida, Veneridae. The transcript is spliced from 3 exons.
ACUGCUGAACGUGAUAAAGAGAGUAUUCAAGAGCAUGUAACUCUUAAUCGUUUCAUCGAAAAUGUCACUAAGAGCGAAACUCACAUUUGCAGCAUCAACUGCUGUGUGUUUUGGGAUAAUUUCAUACGUUCAUAUUAUUCACAAAUUAGAGCGAGAUGAUGUGAAGGUAGGAGUUCAGAAAUAUUUGGCAAAAGAACAACAAACAAUGUCUGAAGGAGAAAAGAAACUUACAGGUGGACUGGGAGGUGCAGGACAAAAUCGGCAAUCUUGACAUAUGAUGUGUGAUAAGAUGCAGUAUCAAGCAGCUUCAUCAAGUCUUUCAGAAUGGAUGGAUGUAGUUUGUGUGACAUUGACUUUAAUUUGCAUCAUGUUUGUGUGAAAGGAGACGAGUUAUACACUACGAUUUUAGAUUACUUAUUAUUGUAUAUUGCGUAAGGAGGUUGUGAUAAUGUGCCUUUUUUAUCCUCCAACAAUUUUGUUUCUCUAAUGACUCAAUAGUCUUUUAUUUGUAAUGGUUACAUUGUUAUCAGUGAUUAUUUUUUCUGCAUACAUUGCAUUUUACGGCCUUAUACAGGCUGUAUCCACUAGCCAAAAGAUGAUAUAUUUUCCCCCUAAAGUGGGGUCAUGUUUCUCCUUGAACAGAAGAAAGUUUCAUAACUGGAGUGAAACAAUGUUAUCAUUACUAAAUUUUUGAAAUGGAAAAUUUUAUUAAAAGUAUGGUUCUGUUACAUUA